GCUGGGCGUGGUGGCACACGCCUGUAAUCCAAGCACUUUGGGAGGCCGAGGUGGGCGGAUCACCUGAGGCCAGGAGUUUGAGACCAGCCUGGCCAACAUGGUGAAACCCUGCCUCUA
Molecule: non-coding RNA, 117 nt
Organism: Pan troglodytes (chimpanzee)
Lineage: Eukaryota; Metazoa; Chordata; Mammalia; Primates; Hominidae
Rfam family: Metazoan signal recognition particle RNA
About the family: The signal recognition particle (SRP) is a universally conserved ribonucleoprotein. It is involved in the co-translational targeting of proteins to membranes.
Source: Rfam